AUUGAACGCUGGCGGCAGGCCUAACACAUGCAAGUCGAGCGGAUGACAGGAGCUUGCUCCUUGAUUCAGCGGCGGACGGGUGAGUAAUGCCUAGGAAUCUGCCUGGUAGUGGGGGACAACGUUUCGAAAGGAACGCUAAUACCGCAUACGUCCUACGGGAGAAAGCAGGGGACCUUCGGGCCUUGCGCUAUCAGAUGAGCCUAGGUCGUGAUUAGCUAGUUGGUGAGGUAAUGGCUCACCAAGGCGACGAUCCGUAACUGGUCUGAGAGGAUGAUCAGUCACACUGGAACUGAGACACGGUCCAGACUCCUACGGGAGGCAGCAGUGGGGAAUAUUGGACAAUGGGCGAAAGCCUGAUCCAGCCAUGCCGCGUGUGUGAAGAAGGUCUUCGGAUUGUAAAGCACUUUAAGUUGGGAGGAAGGGUUGUAGAUUAAUACUCUGCAAUUUUGACGUUACCGACAGAAUAAGCACCGGCUAACUCUGUGCCAGCCGCCGCCGUAA
Molecule: ribosomal RNA, 501 nt
Filed under: uncultured bacterium
Lineage: Bacteria
Description: partial 16S ribosomal RNA
Rfam family: Bacterial small subunit ribosomal RNA
Source: RNAcentral